UGGGGAAUAUUGGACAAUGGGCGCAAGCCUGAUCCAGCCAUGCCGCGUGAGUGAUGAAGGCCCUAGGGUUGUAAAGCUCUUUCACCGGUGAAGAUAAUGACGGUAACCGGAGAAGAAGCCCCGGCUAACUUCGUGACAGCAGCCGCGGUAAUACGAAGGGGGCUAGCGUUGUUCGGAUUUACUGGGCGUAAAGCGCACGUAGGCGGACUAUUAAGUCAGGGGUGAAAUCCCGGGGCUCAACCCCGGAACUGCCUUUGAUACUGGUAGUCUUGAGUUCGAGAGAGGUGAGUGGAAUUCCGAGUGUAGAGGUGAAAUUCGUAGAUAUUCGGAGGAACACCAGUGGCGAAGGCGGCUCACUGGCUCGAUACUGACGCUGAGGUGCGAAAGCGUGGGGAGCAAACAGG
Molecule: ribosomal RNA, 404 nt
Filed under: Actinomycetes bacterium
Lineage: Bacteria; Bacillati; Actinomycetota; Actinomycetes
Description: Actinobacteria bacterium partial 16S ribosomal RNA
Rfam family: Bacterial small subunit ribosomal RNA
Source: RNAcentral